This is a long non-coding RNA of Homo sapiens (human), 1213 nucleotides long. Ensembl annotates it as long intergenic non-protein coding RNA 1646. The record is from Ensembl. NCBI's taxonomy places the organism in Eukaryota, Metazoa, Chordata, Mammalia, Primates, Hominidae.
AAGGGAGGCCCCAACAGCGAUGGCUGCAAACCCUUGGAGGUGGCAUUGCCAAAAGCGGACGUCAAUAGAUGUAAUGCAAAAAUAGUGUCUUGUGUUCAAAAAAGGUUGGGAAAUACUGAGUGAAAGGUCAAUCAAAGAGUGAGGAGCUGACAGAAGAGUUUGAGCCACAGCUUCCUGCGAGACAGGAAAAAUCUGGAAGAGUGAAGGGUCACAGGAGUCAAGAGGAGAUGUGUUCCAAGGAGGAAGUAAGACAAAAACAGUGCCUGCUGCUCAGUCAAUGCCUGAUGAUGGAGUGAACAGAUUUCUGCUUUCUGUGGCCACCUCUGGGCCACAGAAAGGCCCAGAGGUUACAAGCAACCUCUGGUCUUUGAAGAAGGAGCAAAAGGACAGAGAAGUAUGAAAAGGAGCCCCGUUUGGAUGCACCCACUGAGCACUGAAGGGGAGGACUCUUAGGUGGCCCCAUCCUUUGCAAACAGGCUCAGUGGUUCUCCCGCGCUCACCCCAAGGCCCAGAAUCCAUGCAUACAUGUAGGGUGGGGCAGGCCGGCUCACGCUGACACGUCCAGCCUCUGCCCAGCUCCUCUGCUGGAGUCUCUGCAGGGAAUUUGGCAGAGCUUGGUCAUUCCUUCACUAAUUCAGCCGUUGUAGAAAAGCCACCCAGUUAACAGGUCUGAGCCAUUUCCUCUCAUCCUGGGGACUAGAGGUGACUGCCACUUUGAGGCCAGUUAAGAGUUCUUGGCCCUUCCUGGAAACCCUGCACUGCUGGGAAGUGGGUGGACACACACUUCUGAGAAUGAAUUCCAAGCGAAUUUUCCCAUCAUUUCUUUCCCCCUAGCAGUGCAAGGCUGGGGCACACAGGGAGAGAAUGUCUCUCUCACAUGUCAACUCCCAUGGUCUCAACUAGGCCUCGGGGGAAAGAGAAUGGGGCAUUCCAGGAUGGGAAUUCCAGGGUGGGCAUUCCAAGGAGUAAGAGGAAUUCUGGGAAGGAGGACACUCGUGAUGCAUGCAUGGCCCAUCCAGAAGGUCCAGGAUCAUCUCCCCAGCCCAAGCCUUUAAUCACAUCUGCGAAGACCCCCCUCUUCCUAUAGAAGGUGACACGGUCCCAGGUUCUGGGAAUUAGGACACAGACACCUCUGUUCAGCUGACCACAGCCACUGGGGGACCCACUGUUGAUCCCCCAUCCAUUCUGAUAAAGGCUUUCAUGAUGUCAGAAA